RNAcentral lists this ribosomal RNA (526 nucleotides) under uncultured soil bacterium. RNAcentral describes it as "bacterial SSU rRNA". It matches the Rfam family "Bacterial small subunit ribosomal RNA", at positions 26 to 518 of the family's 1533-position model. The record is from RNAcentral.
AGAGCGAACGCUGGCGGCGUACCUAACACAUGCAAGUCGAACGGGGAUCAUAGGGUUAGCAAUAACUCUGUGGUUCUAGUGGCGCACGGGUGAGUAACACGUGGGUAACCUGCCCUUGAGACUGGGAUACCCCCUCGAAAGGGGGGCUAAUACCGGAUACGUUCCUCGGAUCGAAAGGUCUGAGGAGGAAAGGUGGCGAAAGCUGCCGCUCUUGGAGGGGCUCGCGGCCUAUCAGCUAGUUGGCGGGGUAACGGCCCACCAAGGCUAUGACGGGUAGCUGGGUCUGAGAGGACGACCAGCCACACGGGGACUGAGACACGGCCCCCGACUCCUACGGGAGGCAGCAGUGGGGAAUUUCCGCAAUGGGCGAAAGCCUGACGGAGUGACGCCGCGUGUGGGACGAAGGCCUUCGGGUCGUAAACCACUGUCAGGUGGAAAGAUGGGUGUCCGGCGCGAUAAACCCGGCCGGCAGUUUUGACGGUACCUGCAGAGGAAGCCCCGGACUAACGUCUGUGCCAGCAGCCGC